UCUCAGUUCGGAUUGGAGUCUGCAACCCGACUCCAUGAAGCUGGAUUCGCUAGUAAUCGCGCAUCAGCCACGGCGCGGUGAAUACGUUCCCGGGCCUUGUACACACCGCCCGUCAAGCCAUGGAAGCCGGGGGUGCCUGAAGUGCGCUGCCGCGAGGAGCGCCCUAGGGUAAAACCGGUGACUGGGGCUAAGUCGUAACAAGGUAGC
RNAcentral lists this ribosomal RNA (207 nucleotides) under uncultured bacterium. RNAcentral's name for it is "partial 16S ribosomal RNA". It matches the Rfam family "Bacterial small subunit ribosomal RNA", at positions 1286 to 1500 of the family's 1533-position model. The record is from RNAcentral.